Molecule: unclassified non-coding RNA, 194 nt
Filed under: uncultured Botryobasidium
Lineage: Eukaryota; Fungi; Basidiomycota; Agaricomycetes; Cantharellales; Botryobasidiaceae
Description: sequence contains ITS1
Source: RNAcentral
AUGAAAUGCACCCUCGGGGGGUUGUGCUGGCGCUCCGGCGCAAUGUGCACGCCCCCUCUGGCGUUCAGACCCCUUCACACCUGUGCACGAACCCGUCGGACGGGAGUGGUGCCUCGCGCGCCCUCCGGUCUGGCCCUUCACAUCAGCUUAUUACCGUAUGUCGAAUGCAUCACUGCGCACGCGCAACCGAAAUA